UUUAAAUUUAAAUGUUUAAAACUCUAGAUAAGUAGUAGAUAAGUACUUAAAAAUUAAAAAAUUUGGCGGUGAUUUAAUCUUUUCAGAGGAACUUGUUUUUUAAAUCGAUAAACCACGCUUGAUCUUACUUAUUUUAGUAUAAUCAGUAUGUAUACCAUCAUUAGCAGGUAAUUUUUAAAGAAAAAAUUACUAAAAAUAAUUAAUUAAAAAAAUUAGAUCAUGGUGCAGCUUAUAAAUAAGAUAAAAUGAGUUACAAUAAAGUUUUUUAUACGAAUUAGUAAAGGAAGCAGUUACUAUAAAGGUGGAUUUGAUUGUAAGUAUGGAUUAAUAAGCUUAUCUGAUAUUGGUGCUAAAUCAUGUACAUAUCGCCCGUCGCUUUCGCUAACCGAAAUAAGUCGUAACAUA
RNAcentral lists this ribosomal RNA (405 nucleotides) under Metopograpsus latifrons. RNAcentral's name for it is "partial 12S ribosomal RNA". Lineage: Eukaryota; Metazoa; Arthropoda; Malacostraca; Decapoda; Grapsidae. The record is from RNAcentral.